UACAGAGGGGGCAAGCGUUGUUCGGAAUUACUGGGCGUAAAGGGCGCGUAGGCGGGCUGCCGCGUCCGGGGUGAAAUCCUCCGGCUCAACCGGGGAAGGGCCUCGGAUACGGGCGGCCUGGAGUGGGGUAGGGGCGUGCGGAACUGUGGGUGGAGCGGUGAAAUGCGUUGAGAUCCACAGGAACUCCGGUGGCGAAGGCGGCACGCUGGACCCUUUCUGACGCUGAGGCGCGAAAGCCAGGGGAGCGAACGGG
This 253-nucleotide ribosomal RNA is filed under the name uncultured bacterium. RNAcentral's name for it is "partial 16S ribosomal RNA". It matches the Rfam family "Bacterial small subunit ribosomal RNA", at positions 524 to 776 of the family's 1533-position model. The record is from RNAcentral.